Molecule: ribosomal RNA, 253 nt
Filed under: uncultured bacterium
Lineage: Bacteria
Description: partial 16S ribosomal RNA
Rfam family: Bacterial small subunit ribosomal RNA
Source: RNAcentral
UACGUAGGGGGCAAGCGUUGUCCGGAAUCAUUGGGCGUAAAGAGCGUGUAGGCGGCCAUGUAGGUCCGUUGUGAAAACUCGAGGCUCAACCUCGAGACGCCGAUGGAAACCAUGUGGCUAGAGUCCGGAAGAGGAGAGUGGAAUUCCUGGUGUAGCGGUGAAAUGCGCAGAUAUCAGGAGGAACACCGGUGGCGAAGGCGGUUCUCUGGGCAUGUCCUGACGCUGAGGAGCGAAAGUGUGGGGAGCGAACAGG